RNAcentral lists this ribosomal RNA (253 nucleotides) under uncultured bacterium. Its description in RNAcentral is "partial 16S ribosomal RNA". It matches the Rfam family "Bacterial small subunit ribosomal RNA", at positions 524 to 776 of the family's 1533-position model. The record is from RNAcentral.
UACGGAGGGUGCAAGCGUUAUCCGGAUUUACUGGGUUUAAAGGGUGUGUAGGCGGGCCGUUAAGUCAGUGGUGAAAUCUCCGGGCUCAACCCGGAAACUGCCAUUGAUACUAAUGGUCUUGAAUUUUGUUGGGGUAGGCGGAAUAAGUCAUGUAGCGGUGAAAUGCAUAGAUAUGACUUAGAACACCAAUUGCGAAUGCAGCUUGCUAAACAAAUAUUGACGCUGAGGCACGAAAGCGUGGGGAUCAAACAGG